UGGGGAAUAUUGCACAAUGGGGGAAACCCUGAUGCAGCGACGCCGCGUGAGCGAAGAAGGCCUUCGGGUCGUAAAGCUCUUUUAUAUGGGAAGAUAAUGACGGUACCAUAAGAAAAAGCCCCGGCUAACUACGUGCCAGCAGCCGCGGUAAUACGUAGGGGGCGAGCGUUGUCCGGAAUUAUUGGGCGUAAAGGGUACGUAGGCGGUCUAUUAAGUCAGGUGUGAAAGCGUGAGGCUUAACCUCAUUAAGCACUUGAAACUGAUAGACUUGAGUGAAGGAGAGGAAAGUGGAAUUCCUAGUGUAGCGGUGAAAUGCGUAGAUAUUAGGAGGAAUACCGGUGGCGAAGGCGACUUUCUGGACUUUUACUGACGCUCAGGUACGAAAGCGUGGGGAGCAAACAGG
RNAcentral lists this ribosomal RNA (403 nucleotides) under Verrucomicrobiota bacterium. Its description in RNAcentral is "Verrucomicrobia bacterium partial 16S ribosomal RNA". It matches the Rfam family "Bacterial small subunit ribosomal RNA", at positions 355 to 776 of the family's 1533-position model. Lineage: Bacteria; Pseudomonadati; Verrucomicrobiota. The record is from RNAcentral.